AAACUAGAAUCCUUCUAUGGAAUAAAUAAUAUUCAUAUAUAAUCUAAGUAGGUAAGAAGAUAAGUUAUAUAGGAUUAAUAAGUUGAAGUUAGAUGAUGAAAGUGUGCUAUUUUUAUUUAAUACGUGUUGAAUAUGGAAUACAUAUAUAAAAAUGCAGGAAUGUGUGUAUAUGUGUGCCUGCGGAAUUGAGAAUGAGUUGCUAAUUAUUUAUUAAAAGAACUAAAUGAUUCGGAUUCGAGGACAUUAGAGUCUAUUUAAUUAGAGUAUUGAAUUAGUAUAUGUAUUUGAUGAAAUUUACAUAAUGUUAGUUAGUGGAAUUUCUUAUAAUUAUUGAGAUAAAUAUUUUUCUGGAUGGAAUGGAUAUACAUGAUUUUUAUAAGGUUUGAAUAUUGAAGGAUUUGGUGUGAUUUGAUAUGAUAAUUGGUGAUGAGUAUUUUUCAUAAAGAAUAAUAUUGGUGGAAUUAUUAUAUGAAGUGAGUUUUAUUUAUGAAUAAUCGCUGCUUGGUAGAGUAAAGUGUAUUGUUGUAUUCAUCAACUAUUUUUUUU
This 546-nucleotide long non-coding RNA is filed under the name Jatropha curcas. RNAcentral describes it as "long non-coding RNA (JCUR_LNC001344)". Lineage: Eukaryota; Viridiplantae; Streptophyta; Magnoliopsida; Malpighiales; Euphorbiaceae. The record is from RNAcentral.